Molecule: long non-coding RNA, 1041 nt
Organism: Gallus gallus (chicken)
Lineage: Eukaryota; Metazoa; Chordata; Aves; Galliformes; Phasianidae
Source: Ensembl
UGAGUUCUCAUCUGGUAACAAAGAAAUGUGACUUCUCUUGCCAUCUAAAUCAACAUUAAUUGACCUGAAAGAUUUAAAGAAGAAAAGAAAAGAACACUUCAUUUUUCAUCUCUUAGAUGAUAGCAUCUGGACUGACAGACCAAAGCUGGAGAGAGAGGAGCUGCCAGAACAGAAACAUGGAGGUACUGAGCUCCAGUCAGCUGCUGUCACCGUUCCCAGCUUAAUUCACCACCAGUGAUCCCAUGGUUAACACAGUCCUUGGGGGUCUUUGUGCCCACAGCUCAGCCUUCCCUAGCGUUACAGAAGUAAGAACUUUCUGGACAUUAUGUAUUUGGAUUUUUCUUUAAAUACCUUGAGCUUAUCAAUCUGUGUGCAUGUGAAGUAGUCCAUAUCAGAUACACUUUGCUAGUAGCUAAAACAUUGCUAAGCUCAGAGGAAGCUACUUUUCUGAAUGCGUGUGUGCUCGUGCACUCCUGUCUUUAUUCCUCUCUUUUCUUUCCACAAGUAAUCCUAGUUGGAGUAGAUUUUAGUUAUUCCAUUAGCACAAGAAUAUCUAUCUGAACAAGGCCUCUUGGACACGGGAGCUUUGACUCCCCUCUUCUGUGUACGUAAAGAGAGAUUGUUUUGACUUUCAAAGCAGUGUGAAACAGAAACAGAAAGCACUUUGUCCCAGCCAGCAAUAGUCAUUCCUUAUACACAGCUUUUUCAACAACACAUUUCAAAAUGUCUCCUCUUGUCUCAGGGCAAGCAGGAACUGACGCUGGGAACCAGUUAUCACAGCCCUUGGAACAAGCAUCCUGUUGAAGUACUGAUAUAGAGAAGUGAAGUUAGCAAGUUAAAGACUUGAGAGUAUUUUUGUUGGAGAAAGGAGUUGAUGAGCGAGUUCUAAUUGGGGAGUUUAUAAUAGAAUACAAUUAUAGAGUUGUGUUUUUUGUGAGUUCUGAGAAAACAAAGAUAUUUGAGAAGAGGACGCCCAACAACUGUAAAAUAAACAUGCUGAGAAGCAGAGAUUUGUAGGGACAGGCAGUUCAGCUACCCAAG